Molecule: non-coding RNA, 98 nt
Organism: Acanthosepion pharaonis
Lineage: Eukaryota; Metazoa; Mollusca; Cephalopoda; Sepiida; Sepiidae
Source: the annotation of a GenBank genome assembly
UUUAAACAUUGGUUCUCGUACGAUCACCGCAGUUAAGCAACGUCGAGCUUGGUAAGUACCUAAAUGGGUGACCGCUUAGGAAUACCAGGUGCUGUAAG